This 27-nucleotide non-coding RNA is filed under the name Cricetulus griseus (Chinese hamster). The record is from RNAcentral. Lineage: Eukaryota; Metazoa; Chordata; Mammalia; Rodentia; Cricetidae.
GGGCCUGUUAUGCCGUCAGAUUAUCAG